CGGACCGGCGCGACGGGUGAAGUAACGCGUAUACCAACCGUCGGUCCUUAGUAGAGAAUACGCCCGGACGAAAGUCGGAUUUAAUGCUCUAUGUUCUUCUUUUGAUGGCAUCUGACGAGAAGCAAAGGUUUACCGCUAAGGGAUGGGGAUGCGUCUGAUUAGGUUGUUGGCGGGGUAACGGCCCACCAAGCCUUCGAUCAGUAGGGGUUCUGAGAGGAAGGUCCCCCCACAUUGGUACUGAGACACGGACCAAACUCCUACGGGAGGCAGCAGUGAGGAAUAUUGGUCAAUGGGCGCGAGCCUGAACCAGCCAAGUAGCGUGCAGGAUGACUGCCCUAUGGGUUGUAAACUGCUUUUAUAGGGGAAUAAAGUGGGGAACGUGUUCCUUUUUGCAUGUACCCUAUGAAUAAGGACCGGCUAAUUCCGUGCCAGCAGCCGC
RNAcentral lists this ribosomal RNA (439 nucleotides) under uncultured bacterium. RNAcentral describes it as "bacterial SSU rRNA". It matches the Rfam family "Bacterial small subunit ribosomal RNA", at positions 91 to 518 of the family's 1533-position model. The record is from RNAcentral.